RNAcentral lists this transfer RNA (72 nucleotides) under Camelus bactrianus (Bactrian camel). It matches the Rfam family "tRNA". Rfam says of the family: Transfer RNA (tRNA) molecules are approximately 80 nucleotides in length. Their secondary structure includes four short double-helical elements and three loops (D, anti-codon, and T loops). Lineage: Eukaryota; Metazoa; Chordata; Mammalia; Artiodactyla; Camelidae. RNAcentral also lists the same sequence under 2 other names. The record is from Rfam by way of RNAcentral.
GAAGGUAUAGCUCAGUUGUGGAGUGCAAGCCUAACAUGCACAAGGUCCUGGGUUCAAUCCCCAGUGCCUCCA